GUGCCACUUCUCUGGUGUCCUGUGCCCAGAUGUUGCUGGGGGUCUCAGUCCUCUGAGAUUUGGGGGAAAGCUGCAGUGGGGCAGGGGCAGGUGGGUGGCAUCUCUCUCUGGACCUCACCUGGGUCCAACUUUCCUGCCUCUCCCCACAGAGCUUUCCUCUUCCUUGAAUUCCCCAUAGGACAGUAAUUACAACAGUAAUUAGGAAGACAAUUAACUGCUGAAUGGGAAGAACUUAAUCUGCUUCUCUCUGCCUCUGCUGGUUUCACCCCACGCACACCCACGUGCACCAGGUGUUGCUGGGUGCUGGGGAGUGUGCACUGCCCCAGGUAUCUCCUGUUGGUGUCUGCGCCAGGGCUGCAAGGAGCUGCAAGCAGUCCCCCCGGCUUUAGGGCUGUGGCCGAGAUGUCGCCGAGGAAGCCGGGCCCGCUGGGUGCGGCUCGUUACCCGCACGGCAGGAAUUAGCAGUGCUCCGGCGCCAGCCCCGUAUCCUCCGCCCUGCCGACGCACCUUAAAUCCCAGCCCACCACACCCGGGGCGCAGAGCGGACAGCCGUGGGCACCAUGGAGCAGCAAGCCUGUCUCCUCCUCCUCCUCCUCUUGCUCCCCAUUUCUGCACGGUCAGUCCCGGCCCCACACGUGCCUGGAAGAGAGGAGCAGAUGGGGACAGCAAAGCCCGGGUAUUGUCACCACAUCUCGGAGGCGGAGAACCCUCUGGACCAGGACUGCAGCUCGUGCCACAAGAACACCUCGUGCUCCCACUGUGCUGGCGACUCCGACUGUCCUGGUGCCACCAAGUGCUGCCCCGGCAAGUGCGGCCACACGUGCCAGGAGCCGGUGCUCGGUGAGGGCCAGCGGUGUGCAGUGUGUGGGGGGUCUCGGUGAGGGGGGGUGAGCUUGGCACAGUGGGAGGGGGCUCACGGAUGCCAUCCCUGAGCUCCGCCUGCUCGAGGGAUGAGGGAUAUGGUUUCCUGGGGAGGUGGGUGCAGACCUGGCUCUGG
Molecule: long non-coding RNA, 997 nt
Filed under: Chrysolophus pictus (golden pheasant)
Lineage: Eukaryota; Metazoa; Chordata; Aves; Galliformes; Phasianidae
Description: lncRNA (ENSCPIG00010001124.1)
Source: RNAcentral